RNAcentral lists this ribosomal RNA (374 nucleotides) under uncultured organism. RNAcentral describes it as "partial 16S ribosomal RNA". It matches the Rfam family "Bacterial small subunit ribosomal RNA", at positions 527 to 896 of the family's 1533-position model. The record is from RNAcentral.
GGAGGGUGCGAGCGUUAAUCGGAAUUACUGGGCGUAAAGCGCGCGCAGGCGGGCUGGGGUCAGUCGGGAUGUGAAAGCCCCGGGGCUUAACCUGGGAAUUGCAUUCGAUACUGCCCGGCUAGAGUAUGGGAGAGGGAAGUGGAAUUUCCGGUGUAGCGGUGAAAUGCGUAGAUAUCGGAAGGAACACCAGUGGCGAAGGCGGCUUCCUGGCCCAAUACUGACGCUCAGGUGCGAAAGCGUGGGGAGCGAACAGGAUUAGAUACCCUGGUAGUCCACGCUGUAAACGAUGAGAACUAGAUGUUGGGAGGGUUAGCCUCUCAGUGUCGCAGCUAACGCGUUAAGUUCUCCGCCUGGGGAGUACGACCGCAAGGUUG